GAUGAACGCUGGCGGCGUGCCUAAUACAUGCCAGUCGAGCGAACAGAUGAGGAGCUUGCUCCUCUGACGUUAGCGGCGGACGGGUGAGUAACACGUGGAUAACCUACCUAUAAGACUGGGAUAACUUCGGGAAACCGGAGCUAAUACCGGAUAAUAUAUUGAACCGCAUGGUUCAAUAGUGAAAGACGGUUUUGCUGUCACUUAUAGAUGGAUCCGCGCCGCAUUAGCUAGUUGGUAAGGUAACGGCUUACCAAGGCAACGAUGCGUAGCCGACCUGAGAGGGUGAUCGGCCGCACUGGAACUGAGACACGGUCCAGACUCCUACGGGAGGCAGCAGUAGGGAAUCUUCCGCAAUGGGCGAAAGCCUGACGGAGCAACGCCGCGUGAGUGAUGAAGGUCUUCGGAUCGUAAAACUCUGUUAUUAGGGAAGAACAAAUGUGUAAGUAACUAUGCACGUCUUGACGGUACCUAAUCAGAAAGCCACGGCUAACUACGUG
This 497-nucleotide ribosomal RNA is filed under the name uncultured bacterium. RNAcentral describes it as "partial 16S ribosomal RNA". It matches the Rfam family "Bacterial small subunit ribosomal RNA", at positions 28 to 507 of the family's 1533-position model. The record is from RNAcentral.